AAAUUGAAGAGUUUGAUCAUGGCUCAGAUUGAACGCUGGCGGCAGGCCUAACACAUGCAAGUCGAACGGUAACAGGAAGCAGCUUGCUGCUUCGCUGACGAGUGGCGGACGGGUGAGUAAUGUCUGGGAAACUGCCUGAUGGAGGGGGAUAACUACUGGAAACGGUAGCUAAUACCGCAUAACGUCGCAAGACCAAAGAGGGGGACCUUCGGGCCUCUUGCCAUCGGAUGUGCCCAGAUGGGAUUAGCUAGUAGGUGGGGUAAAGGCUCACCUAGG
RNAcentral lists this ribosomal RNA (276 nucleotides) under Escherichia coli. RNAcentral's name for it is "partial 16S ribosomal RNA". It matches the Rfam family "Bacterial small subunit ribosomal RNA", at positions 1 to 273 of the family's 1533-position model. Lineage: Bacteria; Pseudomonadati; Pseudomonadota; Gammaproteobacteria; Enterobacterales; Enterobacteriaceae. The record is from RNAcentral.